This is a small nuclear RNA of Fukomys damarensis (Damara mole-rat), 108 nucleotides long. The record is from Ensembl. NCBI's taxonomy places the organism in Eukaryota, Metazoa, Chordata, Mammalia, Rodentia, Bathyergidae.
GUGCUCACCUCAGUAGCACAUAUAUACUAAAAUUGGAACGAAACAGAGAAGAUUAGCACAGCCCCGAGCAAGGAUGACAUGCAAAUUCGUGAAGCGUUCCAUAUUUUU